This 459-nucleotide ribosomal RNA is filed under the name uncultured bacterium. RNAcentral's name for it is "partial 16S ribosomal RNA". It matches the Rfam family "Bacterial small subunit ribosomal RNA", at positions 338 to 795 of the family's 1533-position model. The record is from RNAcentral.
CCUACGGGAGACAGCAGUGAGGAAUAUUGGUCAAUGGCCGGGAGGCUGAACCAGCCAAGUCGCGUGAGGGAAGACGGCCCUACGGGUUGUAAACCUCUUUUGUCAGGGAGCAAGGUGCAGGUCGGGAGCUGCUGUGAGAGUACCUGAAGAAAAAGCAUCGGCGAACUCCGUGCCAGCAGCCGCGGUAAUACGGAGGAUGCGAGCGUUAUCCGGAUUAAUGUGGUUUAAAGGGUGCGCAGGCGGAGGCACAAGUCAGCGGUAAAAUCGCGGGGCUCAAGCCCGCUCCGCCGUUGAAACUGUGGCCCUUGAGUGCGCGAAGGGUAGGCGGAAUGCGUGGUGUAGCGGUGAAAUGCAUAGAUAUCACGCAGAACUCCGAUCGCGAAGGCAGCCUACCGGCGCGCAACUGACGCUCAUGCACGAAAGCGUGGGUAUCGAACAGUAUUAGAUACCCCAGUAGUC